This 253-nucleotide ribosomal RNA is filed under the name uncultured bacterium. Its description in RNAcentral is "partial 16S ribosomal RNA". It matches the Rfam family "Bacterial small subunit ribosomal RNA", at positions 524 to 776 of the family's 1533-position model. The record is from RNAcentral.
UACGAAGGGUGCAAGCGUUACUCGGAAUUACUGGGCGUAAAGCGUGCGUAGGUGGUUCGUUAAGUCUGAUGUGAAAGCCCCGGGCUCAACCUGGGAAUUGCAUUUGAGACUGAAUAGCUAGGGUGCGGAAGAGGGAAGCGGAAUUUCCGGUGUAGCGGUGAAAUGCGUAGAUAUCGGAAGGAACACCAGUGGCGAAAGCGGCUUCCUGGUCCAGCACCGACGUUCAGGCACGAAAGCGUGGGGAGCAAACAGG